This 460-nucleotide ribosomal RNA is filed under the name uncultured Bdellovibrio sp. RNAcentral describes it as "bacterial SSU rRNA". It matches the Rfam family "Bacterial small subunit ribosomal RNA", at positions 29 to 505 of the family's 1533-position model. Lineage: Bacteria; Pseudomonadati; Bdellovibrionota; Bdellovibrionia; Bdellovibrionales; Pseudobdellovibrionaceae. The record is from RNAcentral.
AGCAAACGCUGGCGGCGUGCCUAAUACAUGCAAGUCGAACGAGAAAAGUCCUUCGGGGCGAGUACUAGUGGCGCACGGGUGAGUAACGCGUGGAUAACCUGCCCUAAAGUGGGGAAUAACUUAUCGAAAGGUAAGCUAAUACCGCAUAAGACCACAGUUCCUGCGGGAACAGGGGUCAAAGAUUUAUCGCUUUAGGAUGGGUCCGCGUAGGAUUAGCUUGUUGGUGAGGUAAUGGCUCACCAAGGCUUCGAUCUUUAGCUGGUUUGAGAGGAUGAUCAGCCACACUGGAACUGAGACACGGUCCAGACUCCUACGGGAGGCAGCAGUAGGGAAUAUUGCGCAAUGGGGGAAACCCUGACGCAGCGACGCCGCGUGAGUGAUGAAGGCCUUAGGGUUGUAAAGCUCUGUCGUAAAGGAAUAAUUUUGAAGGUACUUUACAAGAAAGGACCGGCUAACUUCG